This 72-nucleotide non-coding RNA is filed under the name Comamonadaceae bacterium. RNAcentral's name for it is "SAH sequence". It matches the Rfam family "SAH (S-adenosyl-L-homocysteine) riboswitch aptamer". The record is from RNAcentral. Lineage: Bacteria; Pseudomonadati; Pseudomonadota; Betaproteobacteria; Burkholderiales; Comamonadaceae.
CUUUCCAAGGAGCGUUGCAGCGGGCCGCACGGUCUGCCAGGCUUGGAUACAUCGCAACGACGCUCACCUGAC